UACAGAGGUCUCAAGCGUUGUUCGGAUUCAUUGGGCGUAAAGGGUGCGUAGGCGGCCAGGUAGGUCUGCUGUGAAAACUCGAGGCUCAACCUCGAGACGUCGGCGGAAACCAUCUGGCUAGAGUCCGGAAGAGGAGAGUGGAAUUCCUGGUGUAGCGGUGAAAUGCGCAGAUAUCAGGAAGAACACCCGUGGCGAAGGCGGCUCUCUGGGACGGUACUGACGCUGAGACGCGAAAGCGUGGGGAGCGAACAGG
RNAcentral lists this ribosomal RNA (253 nucleotides) under uncultured bacterium. Its description in RNAcentral is "partial 16S ribosomal RNA". It matches the Rfam family "Bacterial small subunit ribosomal RNA", at positions 524 to 776 of the family's 1533-position model. The record is from RNAcentral.